UACGAAGGGGGCUAGCGUUGCUCGGAAUUACUGGGCGUAAAGCGCACGUAGGCGGCUUGUUACGUCGGGGGUGAAAUCCUGGAGCUCAACUCCAGAACUGCCUUCGAUACUGGCGAUCUCGAGUCCGGGAGAGGUGAGUGGAACUGCGAGUGUAGAGGUGAAAUUCGUAGAUAUUCGCAAGAACACCAGUGGCGAAGGCGGCUCACUGGCCCGGUACUGACGCUGAGGUGCGAAAGCGUGGGGAGCAAACAGG
RNAcentral lists this ribosomal RNA (253 nucleotides) under uncultured bacterium. RNAcentral describes it as "partial 16S ribosomal RNA". It matches the Rfam family "Bacterial small subunit ribosomal RNA", at positions 524 to 776 of the family's 1533-position model. The record is from RNAcentral.